This is a microRNA precursor of Chlorocebus sabaeus (green monkey), 112 nucleotides long. The record is from Ensembl. Lineage: Eukaryota; Metazoa; Chordata; Mammalia; Primates; Cercopithecidae.
AUUUCUGUAUGUAUAUGCAUACUUUGUCUCCAUGUGUCCUUCCCUCUUCUGUAUACAUGUAUACAGGAGGAAGGGGGAAGGACACAUGGAGACAAAGUGUGAAGGGACAAUA